RNAcentral lists this ribosomal RNA (392 nucleotides) under uncultured bacterium. RNAcentral's name for it is "partial 16S ribosomal RNA". It matches the Rfam family "Bacterial small subunit ribosomal RNA", at positions 523 to 918 of the family's 1533-position model. The record is from RNAcentral.
ACACGGAGGAUCCGAGCGUUAUCCGGAUUUAUUGGGUUUAAAGGGUGCGCAGGCGGCCAUUUAAGUCAGCGGUUAAAUCGUGGGGCUCAACCCCAUUCUGCCGUUGAUACUGGGUGGCUUGAUUGCGGUCGAGGUUGGCGGAAUUCGUUGUGUAGCGGUGAAAUGCAUAGAUAUGACGAAGAACACCGAUUGCGUAGGCAGCUGACCAGACCGCAAAUGACGCUCAUGCACGAAAGUGCGGGGAUCGAACAGGAUUAGAUACCCUGGUAGUCCGCACAGUAAACGAUGAAUACUUGUUUUCGGCGAUAUAAUGUCGGAGGCAAAGCGAAAGCGAUAAGUAUUCCACCUGGGGAGUACGCCGGCAACGGUGAAACUCAAAUGAAUUGACGGGG